AGGAUGAACGCUGGCGGUCUGCUUAACACAUGCAAGUCGAACGGGCGUAGCAAUACGUUAGUGGCGGACGGGUGAGUAACGCGUGAGAAUCUACCUUCAGGACGGAGACAACAGUUGGAAACGACUGCUAACCCCCGAUGUACUGAAAAGGCAAAUAUUUAUAGCCUGAAGAAGAGCUCGCGUCCGAUUAGCUAGUUGGAGAGGUAAAAGCUCACCAAGGCGACGAUCGGUAGCUGGUCUGAGAGGACGAUCAGCCACACUGGGACUGAGACACGGCCCAGACUCCUACGGGAGGCAGCAGUGGGAAUUUUCCGCAAUGGGCGAAAGCCUGACGGAGCAAGACCGCGUGGGGGAAGAAGGCUCGUUGGGUUGUAAACCCCUUUUCUCUGGGAAGAAAGUUGUGAAAGCAGCCUGACGGUACCAGAGGAAUCAGCAUCGGCUAACUCCGUGCCAGCAGCCGC
Molecule: ribosomal RNA, 461 nt
Filed under: uncultured bacterium
Lineage: Bacteria
Description: SSU rRNA
Rfam family: Bacterial small subunit ribosomal RNA
Source: RNAcentral